This 261-nucleotide ribosomal RNA is filed under the name uncultured archaeon. Its description in RNAcentral is "partial 16S ribosomal RNA". It matches the Rfam family "Archaeal small subunit ribosomal RNA", at positions 748 to 1008 of the family's 1478-position model. The record is from RNAcentral.
CAGCCGUAAACAAUGUGCGUUAGGUGUGUCGGUAACCACGUGUUACUGAUGCGCCGAAGAGAAAUCGUGAAACGCACCACCUGGGAAGUACGGUCGCAAGGCUGAAACUUAAAGGAAUUGGCGGGGGAGCACCACAACAGGUGGAGCCUGCGGUUUAAUUGGAUUCAACGCCGGACAUCUCACCGGAUAAGACAGCUGAAUGAUUGCCGGGCUGAAGACCCUGCAUGACUAGCUGAGAGGAGGUGCAUGGCGUCAGUGACU